CCCCCCUCACUAUGAUGCAUACAUAUUUUGUUUCAAGCAGUGUUUGAAGAGCCCAGUAGAGCCUGGGGAUGGCUGGGGGUGAACUAAGCCUGGAUGGCAGACAGCACCUGUGAGCCAACCUCAAACCUGAGGUGUAAAUCGGUGUAUG
Long non-coding RNA from Archocentrus centrarchus (flier cichlid), 148 nucleotides. RefSeq lists it as uncharacterized. The record is from RefSeq and is a predicted model, not a curated record. The transcript is spliced from 3 exons. Lineage: Eukaryota; Metazoa; Chordata; Actinopteri; Cichliformes; Cichlidae.